Long non-coding RNA from Capsicum annuum, 726 nucleotides. RefSeq lists it as uncharacterized. The transcript is spliced from 2 exons. The record is from RefSeq and is a predicted model, not a curated record. Lineage: Eukaryota; Viridiplantae; Streptophyta; Magnoliopsida; Solanales; Solanaceae.
UUGAUCAAAGUUGAUCCAACGACUGAGAUCAGAUCAACCCCUCUUUCCUCUUAAACCACAAAAAAAACCCUAAUCCUCAAUACACAAAAAUUUCAGCCGCAGCACAACCUUCUCUCUCAUCUCUCACUUCCUCUCUCUAUUGACAGCCACGGCCAUCACCACUCACCCCACCGGCAACGGACAACCAACAACAGCCUCCUCCUCCCUCUCAUCUUAACCUCCGUCCCCUGCCGCCAAGAGUCACCAGCCGUCCACCGGCCAACUUCCAGCACCACCAAAAAAGCCGAUAAUGGCUUUCGCUCCACUCUUUUUCCCCUUUCGACGAACCAACCACCAGCGGCCAGUGCCUUCGCCACCGGCAACCAAUAACAACCGCCAAAACAGCUCCAAAAUCAGCCGGCUACCAUGGCCGGUGAACAGCGAACCGUCCCUCUCCGGCGAGUCAGCCUCCGCCGAACCAGACGCCAGACGUCCUACCGCCACAAGUCACUGCCUCCGCCGUCGAUGAAUCGCCACCAACAAACAACAUCGCAAUCCGACUAUUCCGGCCAAAUUUGUUAGAAAACAAGUUGGGAUUUGAAGAGUCGCCCGUGGGGUUUGAGAGGGACUACAUUACUCCCUUGUAGUUUAGUUAUUUCUUUCUCUUUAUGUUGGCCUGUAAUGUUGUAUAAACGCUAUUUUAUUGUAAUAAUAAUAAUUGGGGACUGCAUGGGACGGGAUUUUACA